GUGGGUUCUUCUUUUUCUCAGGUUGGCGCUUUGAAACUCUGUGACUUUGUGUUUGCAGUGAUGAAUAUAUAUGUGAAGGAAAGGUCCAUGGCUUUGGUGUGGCUUCUAUUAUGAGACUAACUGACAGGGGACAGGACCAUGAGCUUGGUACAUGCAUUGGUGGUUAUCAAUAUUCAGAUUUGAUUUUUCUGGACCAUUGCUUGGUGCACCGUCAUGGCAAGGAUAGUGGACUAGUAGUUGGGCAAUCAGAUAUAUACUACAGUACCAGCUGCUGAAUUGGGCAGAGACAUAGUUCAGCUUUACGAAGGUCUUCCAUCUGUUGCAGUGUCCUCUAUCAAUUAAUUUGGAGAUAAGCUGGUCGAGCUUGACCAAAACAAUCAUAUUGAAUGAUUUGGGAGUGUAUCUUUUAUUCAAUGAAAAACUCAAAUACUGCAUAAUUUGGCGAAAUCUAUGGGUGUUAGCCAGCAAGUUGCUGUUUCUCGCUUCUGAAGAUUAGCACUCAGAUUGUUUCAUUGCAUGGUACACAGUUACAUUGUGAGAGAUUGGAUGAUUGUUCAAGAAGAAAUGGAGCAGAGAUAUUAAGACAUACACUGCAAAUCUCUAAUCUAGCAAACUGGGUUGUUGUAUUGUACGAUGUCUUGAUCGAUGCAGCUCUGGUGUUCGACAACAAGUGAAGUCUAUGCACCUUAAACUGAAAUUAAUUUCGAAAACUGUCAAAACUAACGAAUUCACACAUGUUCAUACUCGCAAAAGCAUGUAUGCCAUCAGUGUAUUUGGCGUUCCAGACAUUUCAUUUGCUUUUUUGUCGAUUUUCAUGCAAGACUUUGACUGAUUUGUUCAACCAACUUGAAUUCAGAUGCAUCACCUGUACUUCAUCAUUGGAUAAAACAGACGGGGUGCAAACCUGACUGCAACCUGCGAGCUUCUCGGUGUACUACGCUAUAUCAGCGCCGCCAAAGCGCCUCCGCAUUCUCUCCUCCUUCGACCAAGUCGGUGACCUGGUGUUGCUCGUGAACGCCGUGUUGGUUCCAUCAAGGACGAUGGGAAAUGUAGGUUAGAGUUCGCUGGAGAUGAGGCAGCCAGGGGGGACGGAGAAGGGGAGGGGGAUGAAGCCAUGAAGGGUCCAAUAAGGCGGAUGAUGACGGAGGCCAAGUGGAGAGCUGGACUGCUGGAGGCGACGCCGGAGAAUUGGCAGACAGAUGCGGUUAGAAGGGGGUGGUUGGGAAACUUGCACUUCAAGUAACCGUGCAGAAACAUCAUUGUAGGUGUCGCCCCCACCAGCGUGGUUUAGGAAUGGUGCCGGCGAGGAAGAUGAACAAGAGGAAGUGGGGGAGGAAGACCGAAGUAGGGGGUUUUAUGCAAAAAGUUAGAUCACGAUUAUUUAGGGGGGUUUAUGCAAAUAUUUGGAUCGCGAUUAACGGUCGCGAUCCAUUUUAGGGGGUUAUCUGUAAAAGUUCCGCCGCCCCUCUUCCACGGUUCGCUGCCGGAGGGGGCGCCUGGCGCGUCCGCGGCGGUGCUUGGCGUGGGCGGCCACCGCGACCUGCGGCCGCGAGCUCGGCGGUGGUCCGGUAGAAGCGGUCACCUCCCUGUGCUGGUCCCUCGUGUUCCACUGGGCCCGCUGGCCGCCGCUUUACUUUGUUGACCGCUUGCCGGUCAAGUGCGGCGCUAGCGUCGUCCCCAGUCCGCUUGAGUGCUUCUCGAGUCAGAUCGUUGGGUGAAGCUGCUGCGGAACCGGCGGGAGGCGCAGGUGCGGCAGAUGCGCCGCGACAUCGCCGCGCUCCUCCGCGACAAGCAGGAGGACACCGCAAGAAUCAGGGUGAGCACUCAGCACCAGUUGGUUUUAUUUAUGUGCGUUGCAGAUUAGUUCGUCGGAGAAACUUGGGUUGCUGAUGCUGUUUAGACAGAGUGGUACCUUUAUCUCGGCCUGAGAUCCCUUGAAUCGGAAGCUGCGCCUGCGCGUGUUCUUCAUUUUCGAUCUCGCGGUAUAUAGGCCUGUUUUUUAUGCGAAUUUCCAGGUUUCCAGAGCAUGGGGGAUCCUGAUGUACAAUGACAAGAAAUUCCGUAUGUGUUAAUUGGAAAACAUUAAUCCUAAGAGAUUAACUGCCUUGCACAAUCAGAAUUGGGUUACUUUGUAAGAGAUUAAAUGCUUUAAACAUGACGCUUCUUUGGAUUAAUAACAUUGAGAUAAGGAAACUUCUUAAUUAUCCUUUAAUUUUCUGAACAAUGGUGCCACAGUUUUGAAGUUUAGCCCUUAAAAUAAGUCGUGUAAGUAAAUUAGGUAUGUGAACCUCUGCAAAUUGCUUUGUUUACCCUGAGGUUCUUUUGAUUCCUUCGCUCUUGUGCUGUCAUAUGUUCUUCAGAAACAGGGUAGAAAAUUUUGAUGCGGACCGAUUUCGUAUAAUUAUUACUAAUCCAUGUACUUGGCAAUUUUGCAGGUUGAACAUGUAAUUAGAGAACAGAACUUCAUGGCAGCCAAUGAGAUCAUUGAACUCUUCUGUGAGUUGAUUGUUAUGCGUCUCCCCAUCAUUGCAAAGCAAAAGUUUGUCCUGCGCAACCCUUGGCUUCAAAAAUUACAAAUGGAAUGGUCUUUUAAACUUUAUGCUAGUGUCAAAAAUGAAAUUAUAGUGAUGCCAUUUAUGUUCAUUUACGAUGAUAUCCUUAUACUACAUAUAUUACUCAUGUAUACUACCCAUGUAACAGGUGAAGGUUUUAGUAGUAUACAAUUAAUCUUGACCGUCAGAUGUUUUUAUACUAGUCCUUUCUGAACACUAGUAUAGCCUAGUAUUGUGUUCCGUAAAAGAGCUCAUUUGCAAUAGCAUUAGUUCAUUCCUCAUACAUGUCUUUUUAUUCUCUUGUGCAGCUCUAGGUAGUCAGAUCAUGAAUAUGACAAUGGGGACACUAUGCAAUUGAAAGAUGCUGCUUCAGCUGCUCGAGCAGCUGCAGAGUCUGCUGAGAGAGCAGCAUCUGCUGCCAAUGCUCCAGCUGAUUUUGCCAAUAAGAACAACCACCCAUUUGAUGAAGUCGAAGAUUGCAAAGAUUCAGCUCAUGAAUACACUCAUCCCCGCAAGAGGCAGUCAAUGAGCAACUCAAGCAGACCAUCCAGGAAAGAAGACACAGAUGCCUUUGAUGAACUAAAACCCCACGGAGGGAAAGCAUCCAGCACAGGAAGCUUCAGCGGAACGAACCACGUGGAAGACACAGUUAACUAUCCUGCGGAUUUGGACACUAGGAAGACACGCAGAAGGAACAGCCGUGCUGCUCGGAAGGUGCACUCAGAGAUUAAGUUUGACGAUUCUGAGGGACUGUAUUCAGAGUCAGAGGAUGAAAAUGAUGUGGAGAUACAGUCGGUAGAAAGACCACUACCUCCUACGAGAGAGCCUUUUUCAGAAAACCGUCACUCUGAAGAGGAAGGGCCAGAUAAUGAUUUCCCUGAGCUGCCAAAGGCAAACCAUCAAUCUCGUGUUCAUCCAAAUAUGCCUCUCGACUACGAAACUCUCACUGCACGCUUUGAGGCGCUCAAGAUCGGCAAGCUUCCGUAGUGCAACACGAAGAGCAGGCUCACUAUGUUACAUUCUCUCUUAAUGCUUCUGUACAACAACAUAUCACAUAUUAGUAGGUUAUAGUGCGUCUCCUAGAGUAUUUGAUUUUGGCUUAGGUCAAGGAUUUGCCGAAUCAAACUAUUGCAGCAUUUGUAUUGUUCUGGUAAAUGUAGACCAUUUGAAAUGACAAAUCCAACUGUUUCUGCGAUCUGCGCAGGGCAAGUCCUUGUAAAAUGACCAAAUACAUGACAUGGUGCAAACAAUACCCGUAGCAAAACUCUGGAUACUCUGGAGUCUGGACUGAAAUUUUGAAACCAUGUAGUGACGUAUUUUGUCGCAAACGAACUCGUUUUCAUGGCAACUCUGUUCGUUUCAGUUUCGAUGGGAUUCAGUGGAGGGCCUGAAUGAAGGCACGAUUUCAUGAUUCAGUUCAGCUAAUGCCCGGCAUGGCUGUUGUGCCACAUGCAGUAACCUGAAGAAACUUUGUUGCCUCGUAACAAUGUGAUGAACCCAGUUAUCUCCGGUCCUCUGCAGCGAAUUAAACAUAUAUACAAAGAAUAAUGGCUCUCUAAUUUCUUGUACUUUUAACACCUUACUUGAUCGCUUGCAGGAUCAGAAGGCUCUGAAAACAAAACUAAUCUUUGGCCUACUACAUACACUGAACUGCAUGUGCAGCUCUAGACAGCAACCUGCUGUCCGGCUCCUACGCACGGCGCCACACGGCUCGCGUAGCGGCACGACGUCGCCAUGGUGCUGAGGAACGCCUGCUCCAGCUCGGCGGAGGCGCCCCUCCUGAGCAAGCACAUGGCGUACUCCACGACCGCGGCGUCGCAGGGCAGCGUGAUCCUGCCGCCGUCGCCGCCCGCGAAGCCGAACUCCUCCCUCGACAUCCGCAGGAGCUCCGCGAAGACCGCGGUGCCGAGGCACGCCAGCGGCACCUCGAACCGCGCCCCGUCGGCGCUGUACACCGCGCAGUGGCCCUUGCUCGCCACGGAGACGGAGGUGGAGCACUCGCCGGCUUCCUUGGACGCCGCCGUCCCCCAGGCGAGGCGCUUCCUCCCGAGCGCCGCCAUCCUCUGCCACUUCUUGGCUAGCUGAGCGAUCCUCUUGGCGCUGAUCAUGGUUGGUGACUUGGCCCUUCUCUUUCUUUCUCGACGAGAACACAGGAGUUUGCAGUGCUUUAACUUGUGUUGUGAAGCUGCGAGUGAUGGUGUUCAGAGGCCACCUGACCGUGAAUAUAUAGAUAGCUGGCACGACUCCAAAGUCUCCAAUGCAAUGGUUGGGCAAGGGAGGAGAGGAUGGAUGAGAUUCAGGUGGGGGCCGCGAGUGUUUGGCGCGUGCCGGUGCCGCUCGUGGGUGUGCCGCUUUCGGUGCCGGGAAGGGGCACGAGGACCCCAUGUCAAGCGUGGGUGUGCCGCUCGUGGCUUGUUCAGCUAGCGGCUGUGCCGUCAGAUACAUCAGCACAUGAACCUGUUUUCUUUCAGACUGAAAACAAGGCACUGCCCACAGCAAGAUGAGGGCAGGGAAGCAUGGGCUGAACGUUCCGAUUAGAUGGCAAUGUCAUCGGCAUGCUUCAAGAUCCAAUGACAAUAAAAUAAAAACGGGAAUGUAGAGAACUGCAAGAACGAAGCAGCCGAGAAAUGGAGCUCACAUGACGUGCUAGUGAUCCAGCUGCAGACCGCAAACUGAAGGAGUGAUAUGAAGCUGUCGAGCAAGUUGUGCUGGGCCGUUAGAGCAGGCUUGACUCGGUCUCUCAGAAACAAUGUGCUAGGCACAAAAAAGAUUUCAGAUAUGUUAGGAUAGGGGACACACUAGUCACAAACAGCAAUUGCACAACCACUGAAAAGAACUGGUACCGACAUUUGGACCCAAUUUACAUGAGGCAUUGCAGUAUGGCAGCACGUUGCGAUACCCAAGCACUGCAGCAAGUGGCAAACAGAUGGCCCCAUAGAAAUCAAAUCAAAGUCACACACCGAUUCACCUUGGAAUUGCAACAUUGCAUGUUCUUAGCUCGUGGCCUUGUCUCUUGCCAGCCUGAGUUGAUGGCUGCCCUUGAACCGUAUGCUUUCUCUUUCUUCUCAGUUCUCAGCUCUCACCUAUAAAUCCGUCAGCUUCGUGCCAACACUUCAUUCCAUCUGCAAGCUAAGCACUACACCUAGAAGCUGAACACACACCAGAUACAAAUUAAACUGCAGUUCUCUGAACUUCCAGCCAAGAAAAGCAGGAGAAGCAAGCAGCCAUGGUCAGCGCCAAGAGACUCGUUCAGAUGGCGAAGAAGUGGCAGCGAAUGGCUGGCCUGGCGAGGAAGCGGAUCACAUCGGCGCCGGCAAAGGAAACCGAAGGGCCCUGCAGCACGUCGACGUCGGUGGCCGGCAAGGGUUGCUGCGUCGUGUACUCGGCCGACGGCCGGAGGUUCGAGGUCCCGCUGGCGUACCUCGGCACGGCGGUCUUCGGCGAGCUCCUGAACAUGUCGCAGGAGGAGUUCGGGUUCGCCGGCGAUGAUGGCAGGAUCACGCUGCCCUGCGAUGCUGCCGUGAUGGAGUACGUGUUGUGUUUGCUCAGAAGAGACGCAUCGGAAGAGGUCGUGAGGGCGUUCCUGAGCUCCAUGGCGAGGCCUUGCCACUAUGGAAAUGGCUUGGCGCAAUCUAUGGGUGUUAGCCAGCAAGUAGCUGUUGCUAGCUUCUGAAGAUCAGCUAUAAGAGAUUGUUUUCUUUUUUCUUGCAUGGGAUAUGUAAAUACAUUGUUAGAAACUGGAAAAUAUAUAUGAUUGUUUCAAAAAGGAAACGGAACAGAGAUAUGCAGUUAUGCACUACAAGUUUUUUUUUUUAAUAUGGAGUAGCAAACUUGGGUACGGUGUUCUACGAUGUCUUGAUAAAUGCAGCUCUGCAAGUACGCCAUCAACUUAUUUGCCGUUCAAGACAUUUCACCAUACCGAGUGAUUUUCUAUGCAAGACUUUGACUCUUAUGUUCAACAAAAUGCAGCAACUGUACUUCAUCAUUGGAUAAAAAAUAGAUGGGUGCAAAUCUGACUCCAGGCUUCUACUCUGUCUCAGCCACGCCUCACCACUCAGUGCCACCAGAGCGCCCCAGCAUUCUCUGCUGAUCCUUCGACCAAGACGGUGGUCUGUUUCGUGAAAGCAAUGGUUGGUUUUGGUUCCCUUGAGGCGAAGGGAAAUUCGGGGUAGAUUUCGUCGAAGACUAGGCGGUCGGAGGACGGAGAAGGGGAGGGUAUGAAGGGAUCUGGUAAUGACGGAUGACGACAGAGGCCGAGUGGAGGUCUGGAGGGCUGGACUGCUAGAGGCGGCACCGGAGAAUUGGCAGGCGGAUGCGGUGAGGAGGUAGCUGGGAAACCAGCCGUGCUGGAACAUCAUCUUCGGUGUCGCCUCCACCGUCGUGGUUCAGGAACGGCGCCGGCGACGAAGACGAACCAGAGCAAGCGGGGGAGGAGUACCGAAGCAGGGGGUUUUAUGUAAAAAGUUGGAUCGCGAUUAUGUUAGGGGGUUUUCAGUAAAAGUUUUGCGCCCCUCGCCACCGUCCGCCGCCCUUUCAGAGCAAGAUCCGACCGGCGACGUCCUCGGCGAAGCCACCCAGGGUAGCCCACAACUGUGAGAUGCCGUUCCCACACGAGGAGGUGAAGGACAUGUCGUCCAGGGAGCGCUCGCUGGCGGAGAGAGCGCCAGGCGCGUCCGCGGCGCGGUUCCGCGCCCUGCGGCCGCGAGCUCGUCGGUGGAAGCGGCCACCUCCCUUUGCUGGUUCGGUGGUUCCUCGUGUUCCUCUGGCCCCGCCGCUUGCUGGUGGGCUGUGGCGUCAAGUGCGGCGCUAGCAUCCUCCGCUUGAAUGCUUCUCGCGUCAGGUCGUCAGCUGGAGCGCCAUCUCCAAUUCUCCAUGCCAUGCUCUGGUGAGAAUUCCAAAAGGCAAACUUGAUCAGAUUACUUGCUCAUAUGAAAACUGAAAUAGAAGGUUGAUGCUAUUAGAUCAUGACCACAAAUUCCUUAAGCUUUUUCAAAGCAAUUGGCGGUCUUAAUGUUGAUCUGCCAAGUCCGGAGCUUGUGCUGGCACAAUUGGCUUGGGCAUUUGCAGGACCCCAAUCUUCUAUACAGUUAAAUUGAUUUACUGGACCAACACCGUUUAGUGCAAUAUUCCUACUGCUACUAACAUUUUACAGAGUGACCACUUUAUUUUGGUCUAAGAAAACUCUUUCAGUUCACUGUAAAAUACCACUAGGCCAUUCUCUCUGCAUUUUCGGAUUGAAGCAUAUGUUAUACUGCAAGUUUCUCUCCUAACUGUAUGUAGGUUCAUAUGUGACUGUUCUUGGUUAUGGAAUGCACAUAUACUUGCCGUUCUUGACUGUUUCAAAGUAUAGCAACGCAAAGAUAAGGGUGAUUUUGCCUGUAGUUGCUGGUUUGCCAGGCUACUGCUAGAUUGGCUGCUACCUUGCAAGAUAAGAAAGCCUUCACAUCACAAUUUUCUCAAAGUUCUAGGAAGGAAUAAUGCGGCCAGCUCAUUGUGCUUGAUAGAAAUGUACAAUUGCCUUCUUUCCUUCUAACAUCUUCCAACUAUGUUAGAGUACUUUACAUGCAAGAGUGCAAAAGAUAUUACAUCAAUAUAUGCAAAAUCCUGCAUAUCUUCAGGAACUACUGUCUACUGCUUGUGUACAAAAUAUUUUAAUUACAUCAAUAUAUGCAAGAGUAGUUUACUCUGAACCAAAUUGUGUAUCUUGUACGCAUCGUUUACUGCUUACAGUAUACACUGUAUAUAGCUGAGGUCCAGUGAUAUACUGCUUAUACUAAGCAUCAGUCUGGGUCUACUUUAGAGUUUAUUGACAAUUUAAACUGAGUUGUCAAGGGACAAGGCCAUGAGAUGGGUGCAGGCGAGGUCUGCACCAUGAUUGAUUGGAUUAGAUUUUGAUUGGUUCAACUGUUGGGCGCAUGCCAGACUCACUAGCUGCGAAGUGUGAGUGCUGGUCACUUUCUGUCAUCUGCUACCAUGCUGAACGGCAGCGGGAACAAGAGGUGUGGUCUGGAGGAGAACGUGUUGAUUGUGGCAGCCCAACGUUUGGCCUGCUUCUCUUGUUGGUACUGUGCAAGGAGAUACUGAUGGCUUCCAGACUGAUAUUAAACAACUGCGGAUGAUCACUGAUUGGAUGCCCAAUUGGCCAAAUUUGAUGUUCUUCCUGGAGCCAUAUGAUUAUAUGAAUUGUGAUAUGCAUCGUUCACGCUUCUGAUAUGCCUGUGAAACCUUGUGCCCACAAUAUCUGUUCGGUUUCCCAUCUCACGUGGUGCUUAACUGCUUAUUGAGUUCAUUUCCUACAGAGCACAGAUACAAGACUGAAUCAAAAUGGUUGGUAUCAUUUCUCUGAAGGCUUUAUCACACUUCCAAGCUGAAGCAGGCAUCUCUGAAACGUGUACCUGUUGGCUGUUCAUUAUACAUCAAUACGCACGUACCAUGCUAUCAUCAUAGAAUUAAAGUUGGUAGUCCAUAUGUAUUGAAUUGUUCUGAAUGUGGUCAUGUUGAAGUGUGCUGUGUCCCAUUUCUACAUCUUUUCAGUUUCUGCACAGACCCUUUCUUUUAUUUUGAGGUGUUUUGGCAAUUGGAAUUUCUUCGGAGGCACGUUCUGUUACAUAUAAAAGUGCCGCAACCGGCAACACCCUAGCCCUCCUAUCCCGGCCACUCAAUCCGCAGCUGCGCUGGUGCAGCCGUGCACAGUUCUCCCAUCUUCCUCCUCCCGAUCAAAUAAAAACCAGAUCUUCGAUCCCAGCAGCCAAUCCCCAUGGUGUGCGUCGUCUUGAAUCCAAGCCGUCGAUGCUGGGCUCUCUGAAUUGUCAAAACCGAGCUAGGGGAAGCCUACAAAAUCCUGAUGAAGCUAAGGGGCGAGAGUUUUCUUGGGUGUUGUCUACACUAUUUGAGUGUCCUAGAUGGGAAUGAGAGGCAUUGGGGAAACUUGCUGUGCGAGGUGAGUAAGAAGAGUUGCUAAAACAUAGACAUGGGCCUUUACUACGGCUCCUUUUCCCCCUCAUCCUAUCUACAGAUCUGUAUGAGUUGAAAAUCUGAAAAAUUAUAUGAGAGGUGCCGGAGCUUCGGAAUCUGAAGCUUUGCGUGAUUCUACAAUUGAUUUGCUGCGGAAUUUUUGCAGAGGUGAGCGACCGUCAAAUACAAUGGUGAUCUCUCGGGGGAUGGGGCGUGGUCCAGCAAGACUGCGCAUGGCGGCAAGCGUGACGAAACACAAGACGCCGGCGGCGGUGCACAGGUGGAAACGCCGAGGUGAAGCACGCUGUGCCCGCCUGCCCGGAGGCGCGCAAGGACCUCGAGUCCUUGGGCUCUGCGCGCCGUCGCCAAUGCAAGUAUGCCCCGCCGUGCCCCGACAUGCUCCCUUAGCUUGGCCCGCGGUCCCUGUCCCUGGACGCAGUGUUCUUCGUCCAGAAAUCCUCCCCCAAGGCCCCAACAACGAUGAGUGGGUCCUCGUGCUGGUCUAGCGCACACACACACGUCUGCUGGUUUUCCGGCAUCUCUCACAUGGUUCGUGUCGACAUGCACUUCAUUUCCAAGCUAUCUUUCCUCUUGAGGAUUUACCACACUUCCAAACUGAAGCAACGCAUACGUGUUGCCGUGUUGGCUGUUCGAUCUGUAUCAAUGCACGUACCGUGCUAUCACAGAAUGCUAGUAAGGCUAUUCCCAAUGCACGAUUUCAUCACGGUUUCACGCACAUUAAUUAACUGACACAUCAGCUUUUGUGGUGACAUGGUAAGAAAUUGAAGAGGAGAGAGAGGAUACAGGUACGCGGAGGAAACCGCACUAGGGCUCAUGGCGUUUCUUCCGCAGAUUGCCUUUCCAUCCAGGCCCUACCCAUUCCAUUCGCGCCGCCCCUGCUCCAAUCGCGGCUUCCUCCGUGCUGUCGGCGGUGCUUCCCCGACGGAACCAGAUGCCGACCCGGGAGAAGAGAAGUGGAGCGAGCAAGCGGAAGGCGCCGCCGCCGCCAUCACCAGCACCACCGCGUCUUGGUGUGCCACCAGUACCGCCACCACAGCCGGUUCCAGCGGGAGCGCCGCCGCCGCCGCCGCCGCCGCCAUUCCCUCCGGGUCCUACUGGGCAACCGCCGCCGGCACCGCUUGCUGCAGAAUGGCAGGCCGUACCUGGUGGGAGUGGUGCGAUUCAUUCCCCUCAAGAAAACCAAUGCUCAAAUCCCUGGUACGCUCCCUCCGUUGUUCGAUUUUUGCAGUACGGAUGCUAGUGUUCAGCUUAAAAAUUGAUGAUAGUACGAAUGCCAAAUCCCUGGUACUUGUUAUUUAGUUUCUGUCCAUGUGAGAAGGUUGAGCUGCUAGAUCUUCCUGUGACUAAUCUAUCGGCCUUUUAUUUUAAUCCAUUGCUAGAUCGUCAUUUGGAUGCAAGAUCAUUUUGUUAAUCUUUAUACUUCUAUGGGACUGCAGCUGAAAACAGAUUAAAUUAUUGCUUGAUGAAUUAUACUUUUAUCAGUUUUCAGACUUAACUGUCUUGUGCGACCUGCAAAGUUUCUGUCCAUGUGUAAAUAUAGUAUGUUUUGCAGCUGUUCUGACCAUAUCAUUUAUGUAUAUUUUAGGGGAGGUUCUGUUAAUUUCUUACAACCACCACCAUUUGCUGCACCGGAACAAAAUUUUCAUUUUGUUGGACUUACUCAGAACUUUGCACCAAUCUCUCCGUCACCGCCACCACUGGCACAAGGACAAUUGAGGACCAAUGGAGGUCACCCUUGGAUGAUGAGUGAUUGACAACGUUGUGUUAGUUUGAUGUUGCUCUUGGCUUGUGAUGUGCAGGUGUAGGAUGUGACGUGGCGGUCGACGGAGUGUGGUGAAGGUCAAGCGAAAGGUUCAUGCCGAUGGACCAAGGGCGGUGAAGGAUGAACGCAAGUAGGCUUGGACCGAUGGACCCGAGGAGUCCGGGCGAAGUCACGGGCGGUUCACAUGGUGCACGGAAUGGCGAGAGGGCAUGACACGAUGGAGACGGCGUCGGUCGAGUCAAGCGGGAGGCUUGGCGGAGGCCGGACACGCGUCAAUGGACGGUUUGGGCCUCAAAACCACCGCGCAGGCAGGUUUCCCGGUUUGGGCCUCAAAACCGGGGGCGAGCCCGGUGCGGCCGGAGCUUCGAGAAGGAGGGCACGUGGCGUCAUCGCCAAGCUUGCGUCGAGGCGAAGCAAAGUCGUGAAGGCGGCGUGUCCGUCCGAUGCACGGAUAAAAACUUGGACCAAAAUACCCCUGCGUGGGUAGUUAUCUUAGUUGUAGCUGUAGGGGUAGUAUAGUCUUUCGUCCUGGACUAUAAAUAGGGAUGGGGGGCUGGUUAUUUCAGUACCUCUUUGUUUAGCAACUCAUUAUCUAUUUGCUUAGAGGCUAGUCAUGUGCUUAGAGUGAGAGGAGAGAGGGGGAUUAGGGAGUGAUUACUCUUUUCUCUUGAUUUCUUCAUCUUUAGUGGGUGGAUGAAGGGAGGAGGCUAGUCCUCAUCUUGUAUAGAAGAUGUUCUCGUGAUUUAGCUUUAUUUGUUGUCUCAAAUCGUGCUAAAUCUUUGAUUUCCGAGCGUUUUUCUUUUUCCCUAUUUUCGGAACUAUUUUUGGGGAAUUUUCGUUCAUCAUGGUUGAGCCCGAAUCUCGUGAGAUUGGUUGAAGGGAAAUGUUGCUAGGACCUAGGAGAGCAUCCGUGAUAUGAUCCCCUUUCAAAUCCCUCACGAAUCCGGCUUGAUUUUGAGUUUUUCCCAAAUCGCGUUCUUGAGUUAGGGUUUCGGUUUUCUCCAAAAUCCGUGAUGGAUACUUGAGCUUUUUGUGAUCUUUUCAUGGAUCUAUUAGCCUUUAGGGUUGCGCAUCUGUGGCUCAAGUUUCGUCUCGAUUCAUGGAGAUUUGAAGGAGAAUUUCUCGUUUGAAGUUUCAGGUGUUCUUGUGUUUAUCUGGUUUGUUCUUUCUGUUCUUGCGUUCGUGCUUCUGUUCGUGCGCGCAGGCAACCAGGUGGAGCAGCAGCAGGCCAGCAGUCCAACGGUGGUGCUGCAAAGCUGCAGCUCGUGGCCCAUCGCUAGGCGGCCCACCAGCCACAGCCCAGCAGCGACACAAGCCCAGGCAGGCCAGCACCAGGCCGCGUGCGCUACGCAGGCCAGCACCUGGUGGUCCAGCUCGUGGCUUGCAGGCCCAGCUCGCAGCCCAGGGAGCUGCUUUACGCAAAGCAAGUCAAGCCCAGCUUCUCCUAACAAGCAGGUCACCAGGAGCUUUUCAUCUACACGAGACCAGUGAGCCAAUUCUUUUAUCAUUUGUUAAUUCCAUGCCUACUUAAGUAAGUGAUUAAUAGUGUUCCUGUUUUGUCUCAUCCGUGCAAAUUUGAUAGAAUCGAUUCAUGCUAUAUUUUCGCUGUAAUUUGUACGUCUCUUAUCGUUCCUAGGGUGAGCCAGUCACGAGUUGACUUGCGUCAUCUUGACGAUUGAACGCACCGUGUGCUUUGGGGUUGCGUUUGGGACAUAGGUCUUGUUUUCGUUGAGAAUUUUUAUAGGCUCCCAUUGACCCCCCCUCUGGUCGCCCUUUCGGUCCUUCAAUUGGUAUCAGAGCCGGUUAAGGUUUCUCCAUACCCUAAUUGGUUUCGAAACCUAUUAUGGCGACCUCUGAGCGUUCUUCCUUGACCGCUGCACCCUACUUUGAUGGCUCUGAUUAUCGGUAUUGGAAAACUCGCAUGAGAGCCCAUCUAAAUAGUAGGGGAGCAGGGGUUUGGGAAAUCACUCAGGAUGUGACUUAUGUGAUUCCUGCUACUCGUGUGACUCAGGAUGAAAGGGAUAAGUAUCACGCCAACAGCAAGGCGGUUGAUAUUCUGUUUGCGAGUCUGAGUCGUGCUGAGUUCGAUCGAGUCGAAGAUCUCUCUCUUGCUCAUGAGAUUUGGUCUCGACUUCAGAGUUUCCACGAGGGAAACAGUCAGGUGAAGGCUAGACUCUUUGAGACUUAUAGGCGUGAGUAUGAGAACUUUGUUCAUUUGCCUGGUGAGUCUGCCGAUGCUUUGUUUCAGCGUUUCUUGGCUAUUGUGAACAAGAUGAAAGCAAAUAUCACCGUCUUACCCUACACUGAUCAUGAUAGAGCUUUAAAGCUCCUGCAUGCCUUGGAUCACGAAGUGUGGGGUACGAAGGUUGAUGCUAUCAUCGAGUCACCGAAUUAUGAAACACUUUCCAUUGAUGAACUAUUUGCCAAGUUGAAAUCCACGGAGGUUGACAAGAGGCUCCGAGCAAAACAAGGAGGCCCUACUGAUCCAAAUAGUAUGGCUCUCAUGUCAGGCUCUGGACAGCCUAAGUCUUUGAGUAACUCUUCUUCUAUGUCGUUUGCCUUGUCUUCUUUGGUUUCUGUUUCAGAGGAGCACCUGGAGGUUCUUGAUGAUGAUGAGCUCACCUUGAUCACGAGGCGAUUCAUGCGCUUCAACGACAACCGCAAGAACAGGCGAAGGAACAACAACAACUGCUUCGAUUGUGGCAAGCCAGGCCACUUCGCCGCCGACUGCCCCGACAAAAACAAAACCAAGAGCAAGUACGACUACAACAAACACAAGAACAAGGACGGCACCAAGAAGAAGAAGAAGUACACCGAUCGCGAGAAGAAGGAGUAUCGCAAGAAGGCCAAAGCACGUGCCUUCAUCGCCUCCCUCAGCGACGUCGACUCCGACACCGACGACCACACCGACUCAAGCUCAAGCGAGGAGGAGGACGACCGCAAGGCAAAGAAGAAGGAUGGCAAGAACUUCAAUGGCCUCUGCUUCUACUCCGACAAGAACCGCGACGGGUACUGUGUCAUGGCUCUCAACUCCAAGAAGGAUGACAAGGAAAGUGACUCCGACACAGAAACUGAGGUCGGAGGCCUGGAGAACACGUGGCUUAUUGAUUCCGGUUGCUCUUGUCACAUGACCGGUGAUUUCAGAUGGUUCUCCAGCCUCACCCCGGUGAUGACCAAGGAGUACAUCACUUUCGGGGAUAAUAGCAAAGGUAAGGUGUUGUCUGAAGGUGUUAUCAAGGUGAGUGAGAAUUUCAUGCUCAAGCGAGUUGCUCUAGUUGAUUCUCUUAGUUUCAAUUUGCUCUCUGUGUCGCAGCUGCUUGAUGAUGGUUUUGAGGUCCGUUUUAAGCAAGGGACCUCAAGGAUUUUAGACUCUCGAGGUGAUCUUGUGUGUAUGAUCGUCCCCGAGGGUCAAGUGUUUCGAGUUGAUUUUUCCAAGUCAUUUGGUCUCUCUCGGUGUUUAGUGGCUGGCUCAUCUUCUGAACUUUGGAAAUGGCAUAGGAGAUUAGGUCAUUUGAGUUUUGAUUUGCUUUCCCGCUUGAGUACUUUGGAUCUUAUUCGUGGUUUGCCUAAAUUAAAGUUUGAGAAAGAUCUUGUUUGUGCUCCCUGUCGACAUGGGAAGAUGGUUGCUGCUUCCCAUCCACCUGUGAAUCAGGUGAUGACUGAACAUCCAGGCGAGCUGUUGCAUAUGGACACUGUUGGUCCAGCUCGUGUUUGUUCAGUCGGUGGGAAAUGGUAUGUGCUUGUGAUCGUUGAUGAUUUUUCGAGGUAUUCAUGGGUUUUCUUCAUGGAAUCUAAGGAUGAGGCAUUUCCUUUUGUUCGAGAUUUGAUAUUGAGGUUGAGAAAUGAGCGACCAAAAGAUGCCAUGAGAGCUAUCCGCAGUGACAAUGGCACAAAAUUCAAGAACGCUCGUUUUAAAGCCUUUUGCAAUGAUCUUGGUCUUGAACACCAGUUUUCAUCGCCUUAUGUCCCUCCUCAGAAUGGUGUUGUUGAACGGAAGAAUCGGACCCUUUGUGAAAUGGCUAGGACGAUGCUUGAUGAGCAUAGGACUCCUAGAAAAUAUUGGGCCGAAGCCGUCAACACUGCUUGCUAUGUGUCCAAUCGAAUCUUUUUGCGAGCUUUCCUGAAGAAAACUUCUUAUGAGCUGAUGCAUCGACGUUCCCCCAAAGUGAGUCAUCUGAGGGUGUUUGGCUGCAAGUGUUUCAUUCUCAAGCAAGGAAAUUUGGAUAAAUUUGAGUCUUGUUCUACGGAUGGGAUUUUUCUUGGUUAUGCUUCUCAUAGUUGUGCUUAUCGUGUGCUUAACCUUGAAACUAACCGGAUCGUGGAAACUUGUGAGAUUACAUUCGAUGAAACUAUGCCUUGCACAACUCCUGUCUUUGAAGUUGCAGGUGAACAUGAAAUGGGGCAAAGCAUAUUUGAGGAAGAGGAAGAGCGUGUAGAUGGUGGUGAGGAAGAGGAUGAUGAGAUUGACCGAGCUCCAGCUGUUGCACCUAUACCUUCUACUUCGACUACGAGAGUUGAUGGCCCUACCUCUACUUCCACUACUUCAAGCCAUCAACUAGUACCACUACAGGAUGAAGAAGAAGAAGAUCAGAGUGAUCCAGCUGCUGUUGAGGGGGAGGCGACUUCAGAGCGAGAGGCUCCACGGCACAUUCAGCGUCGUCAUCCUCCACAACAGAUGAUCGGUAACUUACAUGAACGCACCACUAGGCACAGCUCUAGGCAGAUUUCACACUUUGCACAUUCUACAUUUGUUGCCUCUUUCGAACCCCGAGAUAUUGGACAUGCUCUAUCUGAUUCAAAUUGGGUUAAUGCCAUGCAUGAGGAGUUGGAGAACUUUGAGCGAAACAGGGUUUGGGUUUUAGUUGAACCACCUCCAAAUUGCCAUCCUAUAAGAACAAAAUGGGUUUUCAAAAAUAAACAAGGUGAGGAUGGGUUGAUUGUGAGAAACAAAGCGAGGUUGGUUGCCCAAGGUUUUAGCCAAAAAGAGGGGAUAGAUUAUGAGGAAACCUUUGCUCCUGUUGCCCGUUUGGAAGCAAUUAGAAUCCUUCUAGCCUUCUCUGUGGCUAAAGGUUUUAAGCUCUUCCAAAUGGAUGUGAAAAGUGCCUUCCUAAAUGGUUUCAUAGAGGAGGAAGUGUAUGUGAAACAACCCCCUGGUUUUGAGAGUCCUAAAUAUCCUGAUCGUGUUUUCAAACUCCAGAAAGCUCUCUAUGGCCUAAAACAAGCACCCCGAGCGUGGUAUGCUAGAUUGAAAUCCUUUUUGCUUGGGAAUGGGUUUGAAAUGGGAUCAGUUGAUAAAACACUCUUUCUCCUCAGGCAAGGCAAUGACUUAUUGAUUCUUCAGAUAUACGUGGAUGAUAUUAUCUUUGGUGGUUCUUCUCAUGCUUUGGUUGCAAAGUUUGCAGAUGACAUGAGCAGGGAGUUCGAGAUGUCGAUGAUGGGUGAGUUGACCUUCUUCCUCGGGCUACAGAUCAAGCAAAGCAAGGAAGGAACCUUCGUGCACCAAGGGAAGUACACGAAGGACGUGUUGAGGAAGUUUGACAUGGCUGAUGCUAAGCCACUCUCCACACCCAUGGGUACGACGACGGCACUAGAUGCGGAUGAAGAUGGUGAACCGGUGGACCAGAAGGAGUACAGAAGCAUGAUCGGCUCCCUCUUAUACCUGACGGCGACGAGGCCGGACAUACACUUCUUUGUGUGUCUGUGCGCUCAUUUUCAGGCUUCACCAAGGACAUCUCACCGUCAGGCAGUGAAGAGGAUCAUGAGGUAUCUCCGCUUUACCCCUGAGUUCGGUUUGUGGUAUUCUGCCUCCUCGACACUCACGCUCCGGGGAUACUCCGAUGCGGACUUUGCUGGGUGUCGCUUGGAUCGCAAGUCUACCUCGGGUACUUGCCAGUUUCUCGGUUCGUCUUUGGUCUCUUGGUCUUCUCGCAAACAAUCUAGUGUUGCUCAGUCUACCACCGAAGCUGAGUAUGUUGCUGCUGCUAGCUGUUGUUCUCAGCUGCUUUGGAUGAUUUCCACUUUGAGAGAUUUUGGUUUGGAUUUUACUCGUGUACCUCUUCUUUGUGACAGCACGAGUGCCAUUAGUGUAGCCAAGAACCCCGUUCUCCACUCAAAAACUAAACACAUUGAUGUGAGAUAUCAUUUUCUGAGAGAUCAUGUUGAGAAAGGGGAUAUUGACCUUGGCUAUGUUGCUACCCAAAACCAACUCGCAGACAUUUUCACCAAACCCCUGGAUCAAGCCACUUUUGCUCGUUUGCGGGGGGAGUUGGGUGUUUGCUUUCCUUUCUGAGUUAGGUUUUUGGAGCUUCUCUUGUAUUAUACUUGUAUCAUUUUUGUACAAAACAUGGUAGGAUAGCCACUUUUUCAUGAUAGCUUUGAGUUCUUCAUGUAUAUCUUAUCAUGCUAUUUCUGUGAUAUAUUGUGGUGGAUGAUACAUAUGAACAUCAUGUCAUGCUUUACCUUAGUUUACAUUUGGGUAUGGCAUGUUGUUCAUCUGUAUCAUUUUAGCUUAGUUUCCAUGCAUUUUGUAUCAUAUUGCAUUUUGUAUCAUGUUGCACUAGAUGAGCUUCUCCUAUAUAUCUUGUGUACUCCCUUAUGCUACUUGUGAGGUAGUGCUGUGGUUGGUGAUUUUGAUGCAAUGUGCAGUUAUGCUCUUGAUGAUAUUGUAUACUUGUUGAGAUAACUGUUUUUGAAUUUCAAUGCUAAAUUCUACUCUAUUAACUUGCUUAUCACCCAUGAGUAGAUGCUUGGUUAUGGUUUGCCCUUGGUUGAAUACUGGUUCCAUAUCUAGCUUAUGUUUGGAAUUCAUGUUCUUUUCAAUUGGGUCAAAGAUCUAGGUAUCAUUGCAAAUGUUUAGCCCAUGAUGCACCCCUUGGGGAAGCAUGGCUUCUUUGUGCCGCAAAGGCACUUCAUGUAUUUUGCUUUGUGUGAAUACUAAAAAAAAA
This 18233-nucleotide long non-coding RNA is filed under the name Setaria viridis. RNAcentral describes it as "long non-coding RNA (SVIR_LNC002323)". The record is from RNAcentral. Lineage: Eukaryota; Viridiplantae; Streptophyta; Magnoliopsida; Poales; Poaceae.